UUAAGUGGAGAAAUAUAAAUUACGUACUUGUAGCUGUGCCAACCAAUUACCCACUUCUUCGUGGCCUUCAAGGCUAAUCUUUGCGAAGGCAAUUGAGCAUCAAAAUUCCUUGGACCUAAAAAGCUGUAAUUUGAUCUGAGCUCAAGAGACAAUUCUCUUAGCCGAGGGAAGUCUUUGCGAAGGCAAUGAGCAUCAAAAUUCCUUGGACCUAAAAAGCUGUAAUUUGAUCUGAGCUCAAGAGACAAUUCUCUUAGCCGAGGGAACUUGAUGAUGCCAUCUCUGUUAUGAGACAAAGAGACUGGGAAGACAUA
This 311-nucleotide long non-coding RNA is filed under the name Populus trichocarpa (black cottonwood). RNAcentral's name for it is "long non-coding RNA (PTRI_LNC000470)". Lineage: Eukaryota; Viridiplantae; Streptophyta; Magnoliopsida; Malpighiales; Salicaceae. The record is from RNAcentral.